UUAACAAUGAAUAAGUAUUUUAAAAUACUUACGUAUAUUUCUAAUUUACAGAUGUAAAUGGAAAGACUUCUAUCCAGAUAGCUCCAGACAAAAUGGCGGACAAGAUCACGAGGACGUGACGACAUUCGUUUUGCCGGCCGGAUGGCCGAGUGGUCACGGUAGCAGCCCACCGCUCUAGGAGACCCGGGAUCGAAUCCAAACGGGUCAAAAAAAACUCCAGGAAUUUUUUCGGGAUAUGUCGGGCCCUUCCCUCACCACCGGCCGCCCCAUUGUGGGCCUGACCGAACUCAUAAUGGGCCUGCUAAAAAAAGAGGCCCUGUUAAUGCCCAGGUGGGGUGAAAAAAGUUAAAAAAAUCCUAGUACAUAAAAGUUUUUUAUCGACUUAUUCAAACGAAUUUCGUGUAAUUUUCGGAGAUCGACAAGCCUCAGAAAGUAGAAUUUAAGAAGAUCGUCUUUUACUUCUCCACUGUGGACAUUCUGCCCGAUGUAAAUGCCAAAGAUAAUUUAUUUAUCAAAUUCCGAACACAAAAAAAUGAUUGAAGCAAAAUUUAAAAAAAUUAUGAUUUUAUUAAAUAAAAAAAAUUAAUAAGAUUGAUUUUUUUUUUGUUCUAAUUUUUACGAAAUUCGAACAUUGUCGACGCGUCUUUUAACGUUUGUUCGAAAUUUGUCACACAUGACGAUUCGCAGCGAGUUUCUGUUUCUCGUUGGCGUCGGACUUGCUUUUCUCUCGCUCUUAAUUGUGUGCUGUUUUUGCUGUUCCGGAGUUUUCGAAAGACGACAAAAGAUUUUUCAGGUAAGUCUUAGUCCAUAUUGACCCUAGACGUACGAAUUUAUUUAAUAUUCUCAAACGAAUCGUUGCCAGAAGACAUCUCGGCCCAUCGUUCGAUGGUCGAUUCGAAUGUUUUAGAUUUAAUUAGGGAACUGCGGUGAGCAUUUUGUUUUUCUCGUCGACGUAAUUUAAGCUUCUGUUUUCACUCGACUAAUUGCAAAUUUUCUUUUUUACAGAAUGAAGAUAUUGGAGUGGAUCAGGAGGAGGUUCUGACGAAGGAAGACGGUGGCGCCGGAGGGAGGGGUUUCCUCUGAUGGCUCUGGCGGCGCUCGGACUCUUACCGCACCCGAAGAGACGUUGGAGGACCGGGGACUCGACCGUGUCUCUUCACAAUCGAUUAGUUCGGUGUCGGUAGAGACCGUCGAGCAAGAGGCAGCUAGCGACGACUUACCCCAAUUAACCUACAGAUGAUGCUUGCUUGGCGAUGAUAUGUAUAUCAUUGAUACGUUGGAAGAGACCAAUGACGACUAACAGUCUGUCACUGGUUCCACCUUGGGCUGGCGACCUCACUGGAGAGAGGGCCACAGCGGAUACAAUACCUGGCAAGCACGAUCUUGUUUAUAUACAGUACUUGCAUGGGCGUAGCGAGGGGGGAGCCUGGGUGGGCACGGCCCCUCCCAGAGAACCUGGUGCCCCUCCAGGAAAUCACAGCCGAAAAAGUGUUGAGUCGAUUUGUAAACACCUAAAGCUAAAAUAAAAGUUUUGAAUACUAAAAAAAAGUGAACGGCUUGCUCGGUGCCCAAUAAUGAACAAUAAUUUGAAAUAAUUCAAUUUUGUGUCAGGUCGGCCUCCACUAGGCCCCCCCAUAACAAAACUCUGGCUACGCCCAUGAGUACUUGAGGAAGAUCUUGUACAGGUUAUUGUCAUUAAUUAACGAGGAUGCAGGGCCAUGACAUAUUGUAUUAUAACCUUCUCACUUUCUCACUGUUUUUGUAUUUUGUAGGAACAUUUGGGAGGGAGAAGAAUAUCUUUCCCCAACUUUACCAGGAAGAGGACGACGUGACCAUUUAUCAUUCAAGUGAAUAUUUUCCGAAACCUCCGAUUACAUGCCGAAAGUUGUUUUUGAAUCACACAAACACAAAAUUGAAAUUAGUAAUGAGAAGAAUAAAGUUCACAAUAACCUAAGAAAGAUUAAAUAAUCUUUUGGUGAUCGACAUUGAAAAAAUUGCUAUUAAAUAUCAGGUAAAUGAGAUAUUCUUCGAUUUGCAAAUACCAACUUGUCGCCGUGAAGACUGAACCAAGUGAAGCUGUGCGAAACGUGAAGCCGAAACGGACUGUUUGUUAACUAUGUUAAGUGUAAAGUGAGUCUUAAAUCACGACAGAUAUAGGCGUAUAAUUUUAUAUGUAAUAGCUUUAAUUAAUUAAUAUUUACGCAUCAUAUUUUAUAUAUCUGUUACUUAUACAGUGUU
Molecule: long non-coding RNA, 2238 nt
Organism: Centruroides sculpturatus (bark scorpion)
Lineage: Eukaryota; Metazoa; Arthropoda; Arachnida; Scorpiones; Buthidae
Exons: 3
Source: RefSeq, a predicted model, not a curated record